Molecule: ribosomal RNA, 468 nt
Filed under: uncultured bacterium
Lineage: Bacteria
Description: partial 16S ribosomal RNA
Rfam family: Bacterial small subunit ribosomal RNA
Source: RNAcentral
GACGAACGCUGGCGGCGUGCCUAACACAUGCAAGUCGAACGGAAAGGCGCUGCUUUUGUGGGGUUCUCGAGGGGCGAAGGGGUGUGAAACACGUGAGUAACCUGCCCUGUGGUGUGGGAUAACUUCAGGAAACUGGGGCUAAUACCUGAGAGGAGCUCGUGCUGCAUGGGGGGGGUUGGAAAGUUUCGGCGGUUGUGGAUGGACUUGCGGCUUAUCAGCUGGUUGGUGGGGUAGUGGCUUACCAGGGCUUUGACGGGUAGCCGGCAUGAGAGGGUGACCGGCCACAUUGGGACUGCGAUACGCACCAGACUCCUACGGGGGGCAGCAGUGGGAAAUAUUGCCCAAUGGGCGGAAGCCUGAUGCAGAAGCGCCGCGUGCGGGAUGACGGCCUUCGGGUUGUAAACCGCUUUAGCCUGUGACCAAGCGUGAGUGACGGUAAUGGGUAAAGAAGCACCGGCUAACUACGUG